AUCGCUCUUUGUAAAUAUAAAAUAAGGAGUCGUACCUGCCCGGUGAAAAAUUUAACGGCCGCAGUACCCUGACUGUGCAAAGGUAGCAUAAUCAUUUGCCUUUUAAUUGAAGGCUGGAAUGAAUGGUUUGACGAAAUUCUUCUGUCUCUAUCUUAUUAAAUAGAAUUUAAUUUUUAGGUGAAGAAGCCUGAAUGAAGUCAAAAGACGAAAAGACCCUGUCGAACUUUAGAGUAAUUAUAAAAUUAUAUGCUUUUUAGAAUAAAUGUUUUUUAGAAUUUCUCUUUUGUUGGGGUGACAGAAGAACAGAUAAAGCUUCUUUUAGUUGAGGAAACUUAUAUGUUGAAAAGAUCCAUAAAAAUUUAUGAUAGUAAGAUAAGUUACCGCAGGGAUAACAGCGUUAUUUUUCUGGAGAGUUCAAAUUGAAGGAAAAGAUUGCGACCUCGAUGUUGGAUUGGAAUACCUAAUAGGCGAAGAAGCUUGUUGUUGGGGGUCUGUUCGACCUUUAAAUUUCCACAUG
RNAcentral lists this ribosomal RNA (517 nucleotides) under Liolophura japonica. Its description in RNAcentral is "partial 16S ribosomal RNA". It matches the Rfam family "Bacterial large subunit ribosomal RNA", at positions 1815 to 2602 of the family's 2925-position model. Lineage: Eukaryota; Metazoa; Mollusca; Polyplacophora; Chitonida; Chitonidae. The record is from RNAcentral.